This 6149-nucleotide long non-coding RNA is filed under the name Marmota monax (woodchuck). Lineage: Eukaryota; Metazoa; Chordata; Mammalia; Rodentia; Sciuridae. The record is from RNAcentral.
AUUAUGAAAUUGAAUCCAAGAUCAGUAUCUAAAUUACUACUGAGUUUUGUUUUUUAAAGAAUUUAACAUUUAUUUUAUUUAUUUGUAUGUGGUGUUGAGGUUCAAACUCAGUGCCUCAGACUUGCUAGGCAAGUGCUCUACCACUGAGCACUACUGGUUUUUUUUAUAUGUUCAGCAUGUGGUCAUACUUUUUCUAUUGAGUUUUUUAAAGUAGUCAUGAAAUUUUAAUAUAAUCUUAAGUUUUUACCUAACAGAAAUCUGUCUAUCCCAACGUUUUCCUUAGUAUUAUUUUUUAUAACCAUGACAGUGUUUUUGCUUAGUAAUUUCUAUAAUAUAUAGAGUCCAAGUAUUUUGUACCAUUUUUUGAAACAUGAGAGAAAAUAACAGCUUUUCUUGAAAGAUAAGAGGAAGUCAGUAUUUUAUGUUUAAAAGCAAACUACUUUUAAUGUCAUAAGCUUGCUGUUUCUCUUAGCUGUUUAGUGCACUGGUAGUUUUUUAAUGGUUAAUGUAGGGCAAAAAAUAUUUAGUGUUUUAGCAAUCAGAAGUCAUUUUUAGGUAAUCAAAAUUAUUAUAUGUUAAGUUUUUUAAAAAUUGCUUUAACUCUACCCUUUGUUGCUACUAUAAUUUCUCUUUCUAAAUUUAGAGAGGAAAUAACUUUUCAAGUAUGUAUAGGACAGAAACUUGACACAUUAGAGGUUAAGAAUUUUAAUUGGUGAAUUGGAGUAGUUAGGCUGAUAACCCUGGGCUUAACAAAACUAAUUUUUAAACUAGGCUCUGUAUAUUUUAUCAUUAUUGUUUGGUGGGUACCAGGAAACUUAAGUUCUUAUGAUUAGAUAUCUGUUGAGGGGGUGGGAAGGAGACAAGUAAUUAAAUACCACCUUAUUUUUUUUCUAAGUGGUUUUAGAGGGUUGCAGUAUGCAUCACCAUUCAAAGCCAAUUUAAAUAGGAAUAUAUCACAUCAUACUCCAAAUAGCAAACAACCUCAGGAAAGUCAUUUAUUCAGACGGCAUAGAUUUGUGCUAGACAGCAGUGAUGCAUUACAAAUAUAUAAUUAUUUGCACUAAUAUUUGAGCAGGUGGAAUGGAUUAGAACAUGGUCAACAUUAUGCUGCUGAUAACAUGUAUUUUUCUAUAUUAAUAUGUACUGUGCAACAUGUAUUAAAAUUGUCAAUAAUUCAUUUUAGCCAAGAUACUAAUAUUUAUAUUACUGUGUUUAAGAGACAGUAUCCAACUGAGCCACUUUUAAUUUAAAAGUCUGAAAAUGGAAUUAAGUUUACUUUCAGAAACCACUUACAUUAUUUUAUAAUCACUGAAAGGUCAGUGAAACAUGGAAUUAUCAUUGCCUGGUGACUUAAUAGGAAGAAAUAUGGAAGGUUAAGAAUGGGAAUAGGAACCUGGAAUGAGGAAGCUACGUUGAAUUCAUAACUCAGAUGAGUGACUUCCUUUGUUUUCACCACUGGAAAUCUCAAAUGAAGAAAAUGUUCUUCCUAGUAUAUCUUUAUAUUAAUAAGCUAAGUGAAAAUGGGAUAGAACCAGUUCAAAGAAAUUAAUUUCUGAAGGUGGACUUUCAAAUUCUUAAAAUUAAACUUUAAGAGGUAAGAAACCUUAAUUAUGUCCCUAUAAUCUCAUAUAGGUAGAUGUCUUUGAAUGAGGACAUCUCUUCUUGUCUACCUGUCAUGUUAAUCUUUAUACUGUGGGUUACAUUGAUUCCUUUGAACUUUUGUUGUGACAGUUCUAUCAGAGCUUUUUGCUGUAGAGGAUAUUAUCCAAAUUGAAUCUGGACAAUGCUGACCUAAAAAAAAACAAACCUGAAACUACCUCCUAGUAUAUUGUUUGCAAAUAUAGUAUAUUAUUUAGAGGGUAGCAUAAGAGAUUCACAUGAAAUAAUGUGAAAAUAAUUUAUAAGAAAAAAUACAAAGUGCCUAUUAGUGUUUUCCAGUAGAAUGUAUUUUCAAUUUUUACCACAAGGGGGAGACAUUAUUUUUAUAGUAAUAUAUAAAUUUUGUUUAAUUUUAAAAAUAGAAUUCAUAUAACUAUUCUCUAUUGAACAGCACUCUGUGAACUUGUGUCUCAUAAUUGUAGGGAUAUGUGUGAAUUUAAAUAAGAUUAUGAAAGUCAUAAAUGAGAAUUCUGGGAGAAUUAAAGACAGAAAACUAAAACAUGGAAUCAAAGUUCAUAAUUAAAAUUGUGUUUUUUAUAGUUGCAUGUCACAUUGAAUUACUUUAUCAACUCUUUAAGAAUAAUAAGAAUCUAUUGAUUAGUUUUCUGCAUUUUACUUAUUAAAGAAAAGCUUUUGAAACAAACUACAGAAGGAUUGUCAAUACUAUACAUACAAAAAAAAUUUCCCUUUGAGAGUAAGUUGCUGCUGUGAUGUGAAUCACCCAGCAAUACUUUUUAUUUACAAAAAGAAGUAGUUUUCCUCUGUAACCAAAAUACAACCAUCAAAUUAGGAAGUUAAUGUUGACAUAUUACUACUGUCUAAUCCUCAGACUUUACUCAAGUUUUACAAGUUAUUCCAAUAAUAUAUUAUUAGAAUCCAGCUGAGAAGUCAUAUUGCUUUAGGUUAUAGUGUCUUUAUUCUCUUUUACUCCAGAACAGUUCCUCAGUCUUUCCUAGAAUUCUGUAACCCUUGGCACUCCUGUUGAUUUUAGGCAAGUUAUUUUGUCCCCACAUUUGGGUUUCUAUUUGACCAUGAUUAGAAUCCACUAGUGCUUUGGCAGGAGUAUUGCAGAUGCUAGUCUGUGUUCUCAUUGCAUCCUAUCAGGUAGUGCAUGAUUUCAGUUUGCCCCAUUUCUGAUGGUAUUCAUUUUGAUAACUUGUUUAAGUUAUCACUUGUUUACAGCCUUCUCCACUGUAAAACUGCUAUUUUUUUCCCUUUGUAAAUUUUUUGUGGGGAGGUACUUUGAAGCUAUUGUAUAUAUCCUCCUAAUUGAAAUUUCAAUUUAUUGAUACCAGUAUGGAUUCAUGGUUUUCUAUUCAGUGGUUUAUAAUUUAUUUUUCUGGAUAUCAUGUUGUCCCAACUUCGGUCAGUGGGAGCCUCUUUGGGUUGCUCCAGUUUUCUUUUGACAUGUUCCCAUCAUUUUUAAAGCACUGUCUUACCUUAGGCACAACAAGAUUUUCCAAGUUUAUUUGGUCUUGCCCCAGCUCUAGAAUCAUCCCUUCACCUUUCGUGGAAAUUGAUAAUUACAAGCCAAGAUUUUUGUACAUAAGAUGUGCUUAUUUUGAUUGAGAUGUUAUUGCUCCCAUUUCUUGUUGGAUGGAGCUAGAGUGCUUUAUGUGUGUAACUCAUACACAUGCAUAUUUUAAAAAAUUUUUUUUUAGUUGUAGAUGGACACAAUAUCUUUAUUUGUUUAUUUUUAUGUGGUGCUGAGCAUUGAACCCAGGGCCUCACACCUGCGAGGCAAGCACUCUACCACUGAGCUGCAGCCCCAGCCCACAUGCAUAUUUUAAAUAUAUAAAGAUACUCCCAUCCCUGUGUGAUACCUUUCUCACUGUACUUGAGCUUCAGUAUCCAUACUGGGUUUUCCUCUUCAUCCUGCUCAGCUACUGAAGUUUGGCUUUAGGACCAAAUUGGGGGAGUGAUAAGGGCUAUUGCAGAAAUCAUGUAAAGAUUCAAAGUUCUAAAUUUUAAAAUUACUCAAUUUUGUCACUGUGAAACUACUAUAUUUUGCUUUUUUUUUUUUUUAACAGUAGCAAGCAAAUUAGUAAAGCUGAGUUGAGGAAUACAAAGUGUUAUGCCAAAGACAUCGAAGUUAAAUUUUGAAGGAAUUAAAUUAAAACGCAUACAAUUUUUUUAAUAUUUCCUUGCUACUGUUAAUUGCUAUAACAGAAACUAUGUGAAUGGAAAUCUGACCAUUAAGUACUGAAUACCAGUAAGAUAUUUUUGCUAAUAAAAUUGAAAGGAAAAAAUAACUAGGUUUUUUUUUUGUAGGCUUUGUUAAAAAAUACAUGUUAGGGCCAGGGAUGUAGCUCAGUGGUAAAGUGCUUGCCUAGCAAGACCGUGGGUUUGAUCCCCAGUUCUACCAAAAAAUAAAAAAUAAGUAAGAUAAAAUUCAUGUGACAAAGGCGUAUAUGAGGGCUAAAUAUCAUAUUAAGAUAAACUUCAUAUGAAAUAGGAGUCAAAUUGAGACAGACAAGUUAAAUAACUUAACCAAAAUUAUAGAUUUGAAGGGUGAUAGAAUCAGAAUUCAAACUUAUAUCCUCAGGCUUCCAGGGCCAAUGUUUUAAUCAUUUUGUACCUCUUUGAGUUCACAAAAGAAGUUAGAUUUCGUCUGCCUUUAAAAAGGCAAGUGUGGGUGGACAGGCUGAGGAAGUAACUCAUUGGUAGAGUGCUUGCCUAACAUGCAUAAGGCCAUGAGUUCAAUCCCCAGCACCACCACCAAAGAAAGAGAGAGAGAGAGACAUGUAGCAUUUCACAAAGUAGGACAGGGGAAGGGGGCAGAAGCACCCUUUUAUAUAUUAGUCACUGUUUUAUCCCUUGAAUGAGAAGACUGCUAUUGAAAGUGGAACUCAGGGUUUGUGGCCCAUCAAAAAAGGCAAGUAAAAUUUGAAUAAUAGUUGGUUUGAGGUAAUUUAUUAAAAGUCUUCAGAGGUAUGUCAGUUAAUUUGUGCCUUAUUAAAAAGACAAUAGGAAGCUCUGAAAUAGGCUAAUGACACAAAAAUUCUGUGUUUUAGAAAAAGACAAGUGGUAGGAAUGUAUGCAGUGGAUUAGAGGAGAGCAGAAACCAAGCUACUACUUUGUUGUCGAUGGUGAAGGACUAACCUGGGGGAUAGUGCAAGACUGAAAAUGAGGUCAUGGAUUCAGGGAACAUUUAAAAGAUUAAACCAGUAGGAUUUAUCUCUUGUUGCUUUAUUCACUGUGGAGGAUGAGCAAAAGAAGAAAUUGAAGAUGAUUCCAAGAUUCCUAACCAACUUAUCUUGAAGAAUAGCUAACAUUUUUGUCUUAUAUCCAGUAGGAAAAAUAGGUUUAGGAGGAAUCUCUAUCAGUGCUGAAAGAAUAUCUACCCUUACACCACUACUUGGUUUAGGUUAUACAAAAAAAAAAAAAACUAAACUUUUUUUUUUUUUUUUUAAACAGAAAUACUAAAAACUUGUGGCAGGAGAAAAAUCAUUUCUUCUAUAGUUUAAAACAUAGGGGACUGAUCUUGAGAUUUUAGUAACAUCAUUUCAUAAAUGUGUAAUUGUUUUAACUUUUUUUACUUAAAAAAAGCUUCCUAGCAUUUCUGUGCCUGGAUGUAAUGGGUAGCCUCAAAUGUAGUAAUACCAGUUGUCCUUGAAGUCAAUCUUUUAGAAAGUGUCAAUUGGGAAUUCUAAACAACACACCUUCUAGCUGAACAAUGUUCAUAUAUUCUAGAAAUACUUUACAUUCCCAGAUUCUAAUCCAGAAUCUUUCACUUUAACAUCCAGGAUGUGGAGCUUUACCUUCUGGAAAAGUACUGCACAUCUAUAACACAAUUUCUGCCAUUAUAUUUUAACUAUAAUCCCAAAGUUACAUGUUUAUCUUAGUAAAGUCAACAGAGGUAUUCCUUGGCAGAAAUAUGUGGAAUGUGUAAUUACAAAUUAUAGCUAGAUAUACCACAAACUAGUUUUCUUUGAUUUUCAGACAGUAUUUUGAAAGCAUCUUUUUUUUUUUUUUUUUUUUGAUCAUUUGGAAAUUCAACAUAACAAAGUGUUUAAAGUAGCCUACUAGCUAACCAAAGGAUUAGAAAAUUUGAAGGUAAUUUUAUUUCUGAAUCUAGUGGGGAAAAUACAUUGUCAUCUUUAUAUUACAGGUGUUUUCUAAUUCUAUAAGAAUUUUAUUAACAAAAAAGUGAUUUUCAUUCGAUUACUAAUGGCUUUGAUCAAAAUAGUAUGUACAGAAUACUGAAUGUUUUAAUAGCCCUGAAAAUUAUAGAUACAAAUUUCAAUAAAAUUCUGAAAUUGCAUUUAAUAAAAUUUUAAUGCAUAUUUAAGUUUCAAUAAUAAAGAGAAACAUGACUUCCAAGAUAUUUUAAUUCUUUAUUUUUUGAUGAGAUUAUAUAAGACUUAAUGAAAGUCACAUGUAACAACCACAGAAUAAUUCAUUUCAAGUGCACAUGAAAAUUUUACAAAAUUGACAUGUGCUAAACCAUAAUGUUUCAAUAAUUUUCAAAAACUGAACUCACUGUGUGC